UGCGAGUCAUUGUAGCAAUACAAGGCAGACGGCUCAGUAACGUGUAGUCAACCUAACCUAUGGACGGGAAUAACCUCGGGAAACUGAGUAUAAUGCCCGAUAGAACAUUAUGCCUGGAAUGGUUUAUGUUCCAAAUGAUUUAUCGCCGUAGGAUGGGACUGCGGCCUAUCAGUUUGUUGGUGAGGUAAUGGCCCACCAAGACUAUUACAGGUACGGGCUCUGAGAGGAGUAGCCCGGAGAUGGGUACUGAGACACGGACCCAGGCCCUAUGGGGCGCAGCAGGCGAGAAAACUUUGCAAUGUGCGAAAGCACGACAAGGUUAAUCCGAGUGGUUUCUGCUAAAGGAACCUUUUGUCGGUCCUAGAAACACCGAUGAAUAAGGGGUGGGCAAGUUCUGGUGUCAGCCGCCGCGGUAAAACCAGCACCUCAAGUGGUCAGGAUGAUUAUUGGGCCUAAAGCAUCCGUAGCCGGCGCUGUAAGUUUUCGGUUAAAUCUGUACGCUCAACGUACAGGCUGCCGGGAAUACUGCAGCGCUAGGGAGUGGGAGAGGUAGACGGUACUCGGUAGGAAGGGGUAAAAUCCUUUGAUCUAUUGAUGACCACCUGUGGCGAAGGCGGUCUACCGGAACACGUCCCGACGGUGAGGGAUGAAAGCUGGGGGAGCAAACCGGAUUAGAUACCCCGGGUAGUCCCAGUUGUAAACUAUGCAAACUCAGUGAUGCAUUGGCUUGUGGCCAAUGCAGUGCUGCAGGGAAGCCGUUAAGUUUGCCGCCUGGGAAGUACGUACGCAAGUAUGAAACUUAAAGGAAUUGGCGGGGG
Molecule: ribosomal RNA, 818 nt
Filed under: uncultured marine archaeon
Lineage: Archaea
Description: bacterial SSU rRNA
Rfam family: Archaeal small subunit ribosomal RNA
Source: RNAcentral